RNAcentral lists this ribosomal RNA (492 nucleotides) under uncultured bacterium. Its description in RNAcentral is "partial 16S ribosomal RNA". It matches the Rfam family "Bacterial small subunit ribosomal RNA", at positions 29 to 507 of the family's 1533-position model. The record is from RNAcentral.
AGUGAACGCUGGCGGUAGGCCUAACACAUGCAAGUCGAACGGCAGCACAGUAAGAGCUUGCCCUUACGGGUGGCGAGUGGCGGACGGGUGAGGAAUACAUCGGAAUCUACUUUUUCGUGGGGGAUAACGUAGGGAAACUUACGCUAAUACCGCAUACGACCUACGGGGGAAAGCAGGGGAUCUUCGGACCUUGCGCGACUGAAUGAGCCGAUGUCGGAUUAGCUAGUUGGCGGGGUAAAGGCCCACCAAGGCGACGAUCCGUAGCUGGUCUGAGAGGAUGAUCCGCCACACUGGAACUGAGACACGGUCCAGACUCCUACGGGAGGCAGCAGUGGGGAAUAUUGGACAAUGGGCGCAAGCCUGAUCCAGCCAUACCGCGUGGGUGAAGAAGGCCUUCGGGUUGUAAAGCCCUUUUGUUGGGAAAGAAAAGCAGCAGGUUAAUACCCCGCUGUUCUGACGGUACCCAAAGAAUAAGCACCGGCUAACUUCGUG